ACUCCUACGGGAGGCAGCAGUGGGGAAUAUUGCACAAUGGGCGCAAGCCUGAUGCAGCCAUGCCGCGUGUGUGAAGAAGGCCUUCGGGUUGUAAAGCACUUUCAGUGGGGAGGAAAGGUUGAUGGUUAAUACCCAUCAGACUGUGACGUUACCCACAGAAGAAGCACCGGCUAACUCCGUGCCAGCAGCCGCGGUAAUACGGAGGGUGCAAGCGUUAAUCGGAAUUACUGGGCGUAAAGCGUGCGCAGGCGGUCUGUUAAGCGAGAUGUGAAAGCCCCGGCUCAACCUGGGAACUGGCAUUUCGAACU
Molecule: ribosomal RNA, 308 nt
Filed under: uncultured bacterium
Lineage: Bacteria
Description: bacterial SSU rRNA
Rfam family: Bacterial small subunit ribosomal RNA
Source: RNAcentral